AGGUUGUCUGGCAAGGAUCAACAAACAAUUUGUCAGAGCUUAAAGAGUUUUGAAAAGAAUGAUAGGUAAAUGUUGCACAAUAGAGGUGUGGAAAGAGACUUCCCCAGUAAGACUCACAGCUGUAAUUGCUGCCGAAGGUGCUUCUAUAGUUGGUGGGAAUACUUAUGUAAAACUUCCUGUCAAUUGAAUUGUGCACAGAGUUUCUACAUAGAGAUGCAAAUCUGUUGAUGAUUUCACACCAUUUAAAUUAAGUUACCUAAUUUCAGAAAUGAUGGUGGUAUUCUUAAUUUCACAUACAUUUUAACUAACCCUCUCCCGCAUCUCAAAAUAAUUAACAAUCUCUGACUAACACUCUUCCCAGUCCUAAUAGUGAUUAUCUUUGUUCCAGAUAUCCCCUUAAUUGAUGGUGUGGAAGAGGCAGACAAUGAGAGAGACCAUAGUACAGACUCGAACGAUAUCCCCUUAAUUGAUGGUGUGGAAGAGGCAGACAAUGAGAGAGACCAUAGUACAGACUCGAACGAUAUCCCCUUAAUUGAUGGUGUGGAAGAGGCAGACAAUGAGAGAGACCAUAGUACAGACUCGAACGAUAUCCCCUUAAUUGAUGGUGUGGAAGAGGCAGACAAUGAGAGAGACCAUAGUACAGACUCGGACGAUAUCCCCUUAAUUGAUGGUGUGGAAGAGGCAGACAAUGAGAGAGACCAUAGUACAGACUCGAACGAUAUCCCCUUAAUUGAUGUGGAAGAGGCAG
Salmo salar (Atlantic salmon) is the source of this 748-nucleotide non-coding RNA. NCBI's taxonomy places the organism in Eukaryota, Metazoa, Chordata, Actinopteri, Salmoniformes, Salmonidae. The record is from RefSeq and is a predicted model, not a curated record.